UUUGUCUCCGUUCUGUCUAAAUUUUUUUUGUCUUCGUGAUAAUUUUUACUUUUAUUUCCAAGUUUUUAUUGCCCGACAGUUGGCGUGUUUAAGUUUAUUUUUGAAUUAUUCAAUUCAACCUCGCCAUAUUUAAUGCUCGACCUUUUCAAAGUACAAGCUGAACGUUACUUUAACUAUCCAGACAGUUACGCAUUAAUAAUAUUUUUGUAGAUAUUUUCGACCGGCCAUCGGAAGUAUUUUUUAAUUUCAUUACUUGAUUAAUAACACGUCAUCAGACUCUGCCACACGGCAACUUCAGAAGUGCCACUUUGUCUAAGUGACAAUGAGGAAGACUCCAUCUGUAACCGACGCUGAGGUCCGGACCUGGAUGAAUCUUCUCUCAACGCCUCGGUACCCCGCCUGGAGCUCACCGGAACAGCGUUGGGUCCCCAAUCCAGUUUUACGGAGCGGCAUCCAAGGACUUUCCAUAAGUGUACUUGGAGUUAAACAGGAUUGUUGGUAGAAAUCUUGAAGAAGAUUUCUUUGGUGUUCUUGAUGUUUUGUGUCCAAGCUUGAUAGAAAAUAUACAAGCGGAAGACAGGUCGGAUAGGCAAGCAGUUAGCUGACCUGGUACAACAGACACCGAGCACUGAGCCAACAGCCAUUAGAUGCCUUGUCCUGAGAGGACUUCCAGUCAUUCUUGGGGAUGAUGCGUCUGUGUUCGGCGAAUAAAGUUUUUUGAUUGGUGUUUGACUGGUGUUUUUCCAUCCUCCUAUGUUUUGUUUAUUUGGGAUGCUGGGUUAUGAUAAUUAGCAUUUAUGAAGAUGUUUUAUUAAACUUAAGUGGAUUCUAACUUUAUAAUGUGCUUUCACUGUUAGCAAGAGGAAAUGAAUAACUGCAUUUAAUAUUGUAAAUUAUGCUAAAAUUUAAAGGGCUUGUAUAGUCACUUGAAUUCUGCAAAAACAAAAAGCCUAAAGCACUGAGGGGCUGCUGUUGGAACUUCCAGUUGAUGCAUAGUUUGUGGCGGCUCCACAGAAUGAAUGGACCACGACAGACACUUAUACAUGAUGACACAAAAAUGCCUCUAAUAGCUUGUUUACACAAAAUUAUCUAAAAUAAAACCACUGUGAAUUAUGAACAUUGAAAAGACCACACAGCUGAUUGUAGACUAAUUCCUGUUAACCUGAAUAUCCUCCUCUUAGUACUGUAAGGUAAU
This is a long non-coding RNA of Mugil cephalus (flathead mullet), 1195 nucleotides long. RefSeq lists it as uncharacterized. The transcript is spliced from 3 exons. The record is from RefSeq and is a predicted model, not a curated record. Lineage: Eukaryota; Metazoa; Chordata; Actinopteri; Mugiliformes; Mugilidae.